This 497-nucleotide ribosomal RNA is filed under the name uncultured bacterium. RNAcentral's name for it is "partial 16S ribosomal RNA". It matches the Rfam family "Bacterial small subunit ribosomal RNA", at positions 28 to 507 of the family's 1533-position model. The record is from RNAcentral.
GAUGAACGCUGGCGGCGUGCCUAAUACAUGCAAGUCGAGCGAACAGACGAGGAGCUUGCUCCUCUGACGUUAGCGGCGGACGGGUGAGUAACACGUGGAUAACCUACCUAUAAGACUGGGAUAACUUCGGGAAACCGGAGCUAAUACCGGAUAAUAUAUUGAACCGCAUGGUUCAAUAGUGAAAGACGGUUUUGCUGUCACUUAUAGAUGGAUCCGCGCCGCAUUAGCUAGUUGGUAAGGUAACGGCUUACCAAGGCAACGAUGCGUAGCCGACCUGAGAGGGUGAUCGGCCACACUGGAACUGAGACACGGUCCAGACUCCGACGGGAGGCAGCAGUAGGGAAUCUUCCGCAAUGGGCGAAAGCCUGACGGAGCAACGCCGCGUGAGUGAUGAAGGUCUUCGGAUCGUAAAGCUCUGUUAUUAGGGAAGAACAAAUGUGUAAGUAACUAUGCACGUCUUGACGGUACCUAAUCAGAAAGCCACGGCUAACUACGUG